AUCAUGGCCAAGAGAAGAAACCGAGAUAAGAAGGGAUGAAAGGGGACGAAGAUGUAAGUAAGUCGAAGCAUUUUUCUCUUUUUCUUUUUUCCCUUCUUUCUUUUGGGGGCAAGCAUCUUAUCAUGAAAGGCGUCCACGUCGAUUCGAAAGGGAGAUUCCUUCGUGGUGUCGUCACGGAUUUCAUGCAUUCCUGCGCGGACGCCGCGGGAGGCUUCCUUAAAACCGAAAGUGAUACCGGGACGCCGCGGACGUGAAAAGACGGGCGGAGAGGCUCAGCCCUCGUACACUCUCUCGCGUGACACGGCUCCAUACGAACGAGUGUGGAGAAAAAACGUGGAGGAACGGGGAGAGAUAAAGAGGAGAGGAUGAAAGAGGAGGUUUUCUUUCUUUUUAUUUAUUCUUUCUUUCCUUUCGCCACGUGACGAACUGAAGUAAGUGCACCUGUGUCACGGCAACCCGACCGGUCGAUCGAUCGGACAGAUAACUCGAACACGGAGGGGAAACAGGUGUAAAUAGGUGGAUAUGACGUUCGAAUUCAUGUAACUCGGAUUGAGACAAAUUUCCUUCACGGGAGGAGAUACUUAAACCAAUCUGAUUAGAAUAUUUUGUAUAACAAAUGGUGAAACAUAUAGUUGAUGCACUUGUGAAUUUUUGAGAAUUGAGCGAAAAGAUUAAAAAUUUUGAAAUAUAAUAACUCGAUAUAGCAGGAAACGAGUAUUGUUUCGGGUCGGCAAGGUAAGGUAAUUAUCGUAGGCAACAGAAGCCAUUUUCUAUAAGGUCGUUUUCUUCAUUUUUUUUUGCCCGCCUUCUAGGUCGUCGAUUUCUUCAACGGCUACGGUUUUUGCUUUAUGCAACGUUCCCGGUGACGCGCAACGAGACCUUCGACGAUCUCGGAGAGAACGAUCAUUCUUGCUUUAUUAGUUUGCUCCUUUGCUCUCGCGCAUUAGGCAACGUGGAAUAUUUCUUCGAUGAACCCGCGAUGUUUCAACUUUCCUUUUCUUUUUUUUUUAAGAUUUCUCUUCGAGUAAUUUGUACACCAAUUAAUUUGAUUUCCCAAAGAUGGAAGGAAACGUUGCCUUUACGAUUUAUAUCGAGAAACGAGAUCGACGACACGAUCCACAAAAAAAAAGAAAGAAAACACGAAGAUCGUGGUCGAUCGAAUCGACCACGUUCUCACGAUACUGCCUCGAUUAAUUUCCCUCUCUUAGGUAAUUCCUUAUCGAGAUCAAUCACGAGAUGCCGCUGCCCCUUUAACGCGAUCGUUUAACACAAACCAUCCUGCUGUCGGGUUCCACGUAUGCCGCCAGGAAACGGGGGUACAACCACAGCUGGCGAAUUUCCAGGCACCUGGCUGGAGAAAGAAGCUGGAAUCGAGUGGUGGAUCUGGAAAAGAAGCGCGAGAGAAGGAGAGAGAGAGAAAGAAAGAAAGAAAGAAAAAAAAGGGAAGAAAGGCACGAAAUCUGGCGGAAGAAAGACGUUCGAGAGAAAUUGAGGAAGGGGUUGGCUAGAGUGAAGCUUCCAGCGCUCCAAAGGACAACGUGUCAAUAAUCUAGUCGAGGCGACUACUCCCCGUGGAUAGAAAUCGUUGUAGUCCUUGAACACUGUGCAAGAUUACGACAAGAUUUAUGGCAAUAUUGAUAAAUUCGUCGAAAUUUGGUAGAGAAUGUUUCGAAUUUCAUUUGAAAUUUUCGUUUCUUGAAACGAAAUGAUUUCACUCGGAAUGAAAAGAAUUGUAAAAAUGGCGUGAAAAUAAUUAAGUUCCAAGAAAGAAGAUUUUAAAGCAUUGUGUAAAGAUUUUAAAGCGUGGCUGUCGCAGGUAA
Apis mellifera (honey bee) is the source of this 1820-nucleotide long non-coding RNA. RefSeq lists it as uncharacterized. The transcript is spliced from 2 exons. The record is from RefSeq and is a predicted model, not a curated record. Lineage: Eukaryota; Metazoa; Arthropoda; Insecta; Hymenoptera; Apidae.